AUGGCCAAUUCUAGAGGAAACAACGAGUCAGUGUACGACGUGGACAUGGUCAACAAAGAUUUCUUAGAUGCUCAUCGCUAUAGCAUCAACAGCUUGCAACGGGCAAAUGACGAGCUGAAGGUGGAGGUUACAGAGCUGGACAAGGAGACUAUUCAACUGAGGGACGAGAGAGAUAAGCUCAUCGAGGAUCGGGAUAUACUAAAGGAUGAGAGAAAAGUCCUCAAGGUAGAGAGCAUCGACCUCAAGAUGGACAUAUUUCAUUUCAAAAGAGAUGAAGAGGGGAAUAGAAAGAAGCUUCGCCAGUUGAGCGUAAUCCUUAAAGAAGAGUAG
Molecule: ribosomal RNA, 330 nt
Filed under: Triticum aestivum (bread wheat)
Lineage: Eukaryota; Viridiplantae; Streptophyta; Magnoliopsida; Poales; Poaceae
Description: partial small subunit ribosomal RNA
Source: RNAcentral